RNAcentral lists this ribosomal RNA (417 nucleotides) under Awacaris kawasawai. Its description in RNAcentral is "partial 16S ribosomal RNA". It matches the Rfam family "Bacterial large subunit ribosomal RNA", at positions 1956 to 2597 of the family's 2925-position model. The record is from RNAcentral. Lineage: Eukaryota; Metazoa; Arthropoda; Malacostraca; Amphipoda; Pontogeneiidae.
GUAGCAAAGUAAAUUGUGUUUUAAUUGAAGACGGGCAUGAACGGUUUAACUAGGGGGCUUUAUUUUUAGGCAGUGUGAUUAAUUUCUGGUUUAAGUAAAAAUACUUGAAUGCUUAAAAGGGACGACAAGACCCUAAAAGUUUUAUUUUAUCUCUUUUAUUAAUAUUAGAGGUAAUAGAUAGGUUAGAGCUGGAGUUUAAUUGGGGUAAUUGGUUUAUUUAAAUUAAAGUGAGUUUGAACUUGAGAGGAUUAACGGUCCUUUAUAUGGGGAUUAAUAGGGACAAUUACUUUAGGGAUAACAGCGUGAUACUCCCGGAAAGGUCUUAUUAAUGGGUGUGAUUGCGACCUCGAUGUUGAAUUAAAGAGUCUAUACGAAGCAUAAGGCGUAUUAGAAGGUUUGUUCAACCUUUAAAAUUUU